Non-coding RNA from Salmo salar (Atlantic salmon), 446 nucleotides. The record is from RefSeq and is a predicted model, not a curated record. Lineage: Eukaryota; Metazoa; Chordata; Actinopteri; Salmoniformes; Salmonidae.
ACUGCUCUGGAGGACGAUCUAGUAGGAGGUUUCCAACUGUAGCAGUCAGGAUCACUUGACCAGGUAGAGGGAGGACGCCAGGACUACUUGACCAGGUAGAGGGAGGACGCCAUGACUACUUGACCAGGUAGAGGGAGGACGCCAGGACUACUUGACCAGGUAGAGGGAGGACGCCAGGACUACUUGACCAGGUAGAGGGAGGACGCCAUGACUACUUGACCAGGUAGAGGGAGGACGCCAGGACUACUUGACCAGGUAGAGGGAGGACGCCAUGACUACUUGACCAGGUAGAGGGAGGAAAAUACAUAACCACUACCUUCGGUUACCUCUAGCAACUUUUGUACAACUCCACUCACCCACAGUCAGAACACAUUUAAAAAGGCAUGUUGGGGCCUCGCGUAGUUUAGAUACACAAAGAUACACUUUUUGUCAAAGAUAAUUUAAAA